CGUGAUAUAGGGAUUCAAAGUCAUAUUUUUACAUGCUUGCAUGAGAAAAAAUAUGACCUUGAAGACCGAACAUACAUGAGUAAGUAGCACGAUAGUGCGGAUUACGAAUGUAUGCAGGAUUGCGAGAAUGAAAUGGAGCAAUCCGAUAUCACG
Molecule: small RNA, 153 nt
Filed under: Butyrivibrio sp. INlla14
Lineage: Bacteria; Bacillati; Bacillota; Clostridia; Lachnospirales; Lachnospiraceae
Description: Clostridiales-1 RNA
Rfam family: Clostridiales-1 RNA
Source: Rfam by way of RNAcentral